AUUCCAAUCGAACUCGGAGAUAGCUGGUUCUCCCCGAAAUAGCUUUAGGGCUAGCCUCGAUUUAGAUUACCGGGGGUAGAGCACUGAAUGGGCUAGGGGGCCACAAAGCUUACCGAACCCUAUCAAACUUCGAAUACCGGAUAAUUGAUGAUCGGGAGUCAGACAGUGUGAGAUAAGUUUCAUUGUCGAAAGGGAAACAGCCCAGAUCUACGACUAAGGUCCCAAAGUUCAAGUUAAGUGGAAAAGGAUGUGCAAUUGCGUAGACAACCAGGAUGUUGGCUUAGUAGCAGCCAUUCAUUCAAAGAGUGCGUAAUAGCUCACUGGUCGAGUGAUUGUGCGCCGAAAAUGUAACGGGGCUAAACUUGACACCGAAGUCUAGGCAGAAGGAAACUUCUGGGUAGGGGAGCAACGUGUACGGGCAGAAGCAGAAGCGGAAGCGACUGUGGACUGUACAGGAGAGAGAAUGCCGGCAUGAGUAGCGAGAGCAAAGUGAGAAUCUUUGCCGUCGAAAGCCUAAGGUUUCCUGAGGAAGGCUCGUCCUCUCAGGGUAAGUCGGGACCUAAGCCGAGGACAAUAGUCGUAGGCGAUGGACAAUCGGUUAAUAUUCCGAUACCGCCGAGCAACCGGAUGCAGUGACACAGAAGGAUAGGCAGAGCGUGGCGAUGGUAGACCACGUCCAAGCAGUGAGGCUGUUGUGUAGUGAAGUACGCACAACGGAAGGCUGGGCUGUGAUGGGGAACGAUUACGAUCGGUAAGCUGCUGAAUUCACGCUGGCGAGAAAAGCUGCUACGAAGCGAAGGCGCCCGUACCGCAAACCGACACAGGUAGGCGAGGAGAGAAUCCUAAGACGAGCGGGAGAACCCUUGUUAAGGAACUCGGCAAAAUGACUCCGUAACUUAGGGAGAAGGAGUGCCCAGGAAUGGGCCGCAGAGAAUAGACCCAAGCGACUGUUUACCAAAAACACAGGUCUGUGCGAAGUAGAGAUACGACGUAUACGGGCUGACACCUGCCCAGUGCCGGAAGGUUAAGGGGAAAUGUUAGGGCAACCGAAGCAUGGAACUUAAGCCCCGGUGAACGGCGGCCGUAACUAUAACGGUCCUAAGGUAGCGAAAUUCCUUGUCGGGUAAGUUCCGACCCGCACGAAUGGUGUAACGAUUUGGGUACUGUCUCAACAAGGGACCCGGCGAAAUUGUAGUAUGUGUGAAGAUGCACAUUACCCGCGAUAGGACGGAAAGACCCCGUAGAGCUUUACUGUAGUUUAACAUUGGAUUCCGGUAACAUAUGCACAGGAUAGGUGGGAGGCGGAGAAGCAGUGAUUUCGGUUGCUGCAGAGCCGACGUUGGGAUACCACUCUUGUGUUACUGGGGUUCUAACCUGUGGCCGUGAUCCGGCACAGGAACAGUGUUAGAUGGGCAGUUUGACUGGGGCGGUCGCCUCCAAAAGAGUAACGGAGGCGUCCAAAGGUUCCCUCAGAAUGGUUGGAAACCAUUCGAAGAGUACAAAGGCAGAAGGGAGCCUGACUGCGAGACCGACAGGUCGAGCAGGGACGAAAGUCGGGCUUAGUGAUCCGGCGGUAUAGAGUGGAAUUGCCGUCGCUCAACGGAUAAAAGCUACCUCGGGGAUAACAGGCUUAUCUCCCCCAAGAGUCCACAUCGACGGGGAGGUUUGGCACCUCGAUGUCGGCUCGUCGCAUCCUGGGGCUGAAGCAGGUCCCAAGGGUUUGGCUGUUCGCCAAUUAAAGCGGCACGCGAGCUGGGUUCAGAACGUCGUGAGACAGUUCGGUCCCUAUCCAUCGUGGGCGCAGGAGAUUUGAGAAGAGCUGUCCUCAGUACGAGAGGACCGGGAUGGACGCACCAAGGGUGUAUCAGUUGUCACGCCAGUGGCACAGCUGGGUAGCCAAGUGCGGAUCGGAUAAACGCUGAAGGCAUCUAAGCGUGAAGCCGACUUCAAGAUAAGAUCUCCCAUCCGCAAGGAGUAAGGCCCCAUGUAGACCACAUGGUUGAUAGGUCGCAGGUGGAAGUGCAGUAAUGUACGCAGCUGAGCGAUACUAAUAGGCCGAGGGCUUGAUCAA
This 2071-nucleotide ribosomal RNA is filed under the name human gut metagenome. Its description in RNAcentral is "bacterial LSU rRNA". It matches the Rfam family "Bacterial large subunit ribosomal RNA", at positions 826 to 2925 of the family's 2925-position model. The record is from RNAcentral.